RNAcentral lists this ribosomal RNA (465 nucleotides) under Vreelandella stevensii. RNAcentral describes it as "partial 16S ribosomal RNA". It matches the Rfam family "Bacterial small subunit ribosomal RNA", at positions 338 to 795 of the family's 1533-position model. Lineage: Bacteria; Pseudomonadati; Pseudomonadota; Gammaproteobacteria; Oceanospirillales; Halomonadaceae. The record is from RNAcentral.
CCUACGGGGGGCUGCAGUGGGGAAUAUUGGACAAUGGGCGAAAGCCUGAUCCAGCCAUGCCGCGUGUGUGAAGAAGGCCUUCGGGUUGUAAAGCACUUUCAGUGGGGAAGAAAGCCUUGGGGCUAAUACCCUCGAGGAAGGACAUCACCCACAGAAGAAGCACCGGCUAACUCCGUGCCAGCAGCCGCGGUAAUACGGAGGGUGCGAGCGUUAAUCGGAAUUACUGGGCGUAAAGCGCGCGUAGGCGGUCUGAUAAGCCGGUUGUGAAAGCCCCGGGCUCAACCUGGGAACGGCAUCCGGAACUGUCAGGCUAGAGUGCAGGAGAGGAAGGUAGAAUUCCCGGUGUAGCGGUGAAAUGCGUAGAGAUCGGGAGGAAUACCAGUGGCGAAGGCGGCCUUCUGGACUGACACUGACGCUGAGGUGCGAAAGCGUGGGUAGCAAACAGGAUUAGAUACCCAUGUAGUC